This 72-nucleotide transfer RNA is filed under the name Phrynosoma platyrhinos (Desert horned lizard). RNAcentral describes it as "tRNA-OTHER". Lineage: Eukaryota; Metazoa; Chordata; Lepidosauria; Squamata; Phrynosomatidae. The record is from RNAcentral.
GCCAGAGUGAUGUAGUGGUUUGAGCAUUGGACUAUGACUCUGGAGACCAGGGUUUGAAUCCCUGUUCCAGCA